AUUUCUUCUCAUGUUAGACUUUAUAUAGUUACUCUUGUUUUCUGAAAUUGUAAGGCCCAAAGUUUCUCCAAAAACCUUAAUUAUUUUAACUGUUGAUUUUAAUGACACGUUCACUUCCCCUAAGAUUAUCAUAGCAUCAUUCACAUAAAGAUUGUUUCUAAUUUCUUCCUUGCCCACCUUGAAGCCUUUAAUAACGAGGUCGUUCCUUAUUAAAUUUGCUAAUAGCUCAAUGGCCAAUGCAAAUAGGGCUAUAAUGUAAUUGAUUUUACAUUCCAUCCUUGUGGGGUAAGUCCCUAUAUAUUUUAUUUGUUUAUACAGUUCCAUGUUAAGGUCUCCCACAAUGAUUAUGUCUCCCUUUGCUUGUUUCUCAGUUUUGGCACAGGACCUUUGUAUGAAUCCUAACUGGUUUUUACUUGCUAUAGUGAUAUCACUAUUGUUUAAUUUUCCCUUUAUCAUCAUUCUCCUUGAUGAGGGGGUUGCUCAGAAGGACCUCCUCACACCUGUCCAGAAUAUCAUAAAGGAGUAGAGACCCUUGCUGCAACUUCUCCCUUCUGUCAUUUAACCCUUAACCUAUAUAACACCCAGUUAUAUAGUUAUAUGAGUUAUUCUGGCAUGGAGUGCUGUUACCUUCCAAGCAGACGCAUCCGAGGGGAGCUCCACAGCAAGGUAUGAAUAAGACAUGAAGGAGACCCUUUGUUGUUGUUUCAAAGGCCACAUCAACAUUUCUACAAAGGAAUCCCAAGGGUCUUGUUGCCACUUCACUCUCUGAUGAAGCAGAUUAGCUGCCUCACUAGGUGACAUCAUAGAGUAACUAGUUGAAAACAGCACUUCAAGGGCUCCUUUAAAAAAUAUAGGAAGAAUUAAGCCUCAUGAAAGCCCGGGGAGACCUGCUGGUAAGUCAGACCUCGGGGAGAUUUUUGUCUGCUGCAUCCUGAGGAGGAGGAUGAAGAAGAGAUAAAUGGCAGGCCGUACAACAGAAAACAAAAUGAAAACCUGUUGCCCUUUGAAAAAAUUAAAGACAUUCUAAAGCUUAUUGACAACGGGAAGAAAUCAACCGAUCACACAGAGCGGCAGCGUCUCUGUCUUCUAUAUGACUUCAAUGUUUUUUCCCAGCCACAUCAUCAAACUGAAUAAAAGAGACCCUCAUAGACAGUAUCACCCAAGAUAAAAUGAAGGCACAGUAGUGAUGACAUUUUCUUUCAUAUCUUGUAGAUGUGCUUAAAGGAGACAGCAAGAGGAGUUAAACCAUGUUCAUUAUAAUGAAAGCUGGCUUCUAAAGCCUUUGUUCCAGAGCAAUGUUUUGUAACAUCUAUUAACACUUUGAUAUCCAUUCAAAAGAGAAAUGUGGAUAAGGAUUUUUUUUCCAACUUCAAAAUGAUUAACAAUGUAUAACAAGCAUGUUGCUGGAAAAUUGCUUGAAGAGUUUGGAACUUCUGGCUCACACAUCCUCUAAAUACAUAUGGCAAUAAAGCUCACUUGAAAAUUAACACUGUUCUAUGGCCCACAUCCUCUGCAUGAAACUGCAUGGAAAUUUCCAAAAGAAAUUGGAGCGUUUUCCAAGUUAUUGACACCUGGGCACAAAAUAUGCAUAUUGCGGACUAGUAAAGUAUGUUGUUGGAGGGUUGUUGUAUGUCUUUCGGGCUGUGUGGCCAUGUUCCAGAAGCAUUCUCUCCUGACGUUUCGCCCACAUCUAUGGCAGGCAUCCUCAGAGGUUGUGAGGUAUGGAGAAAACUAAGCAAAGAGGUUAAUAUAUAUCUGUGGAAAGUCUAGGGUGAGAGAGGUCAGUGUGAAUGUUGUGUAGUUAAUCACUUUAAUUAGCAUUGAAAAGCUUAUCUGCUGUCUUCUUCCUGCCUCUGGGGCAUCCUUUGUUUAGAGUCGUUAACUGCCCUUGGUUGAUUCAUGUCUGGAAAUCCUCUGUUUUCAGAGUAUUGCUUUUUAUUUACUGUUCUGAUUUUUGAGUUUUUUAAUACUGGUAGCCAGAUUUUGUUCAUUUUCAUGGUUUCUUCCUUUCUGUUGAAGUUGUCCACAUGCUUGUGGAUUUCAAUGGCUUCUCUGUGUAGUCUGACAUGAUAGUUGUUAGAAUGGUCCAGCAUUUUUGUGUUCUCAAAUAGUAUUCUGUGUCCAGGCUGGUUCAUCAAAUGCUCUGCUAUGGCUGAUUUCUCUGGUUGAAUUAGUCUGCAGUGCCUUUCAUGUUCUUUGACUCUUGUUUGGGCGCUGCGUUUGGUGGUCCCUAUGUAGACUUGUCCACAGCUGCAUGGUAUCCGGUAGACUCCUGCAGAAGAGAGAGGAUCCCUCUUGUCCUUCGCUGACCGUAGCAUUUGUUGGAUUUUCUUCGUGGGUCUGUAGAUAGUUUGUAGGUUGUGCUUCUUCAUCAGCUUCCCUAUGUGGUCAGUAGUUCCCUUGAUGUAU
This is a long non-coding RNA of Anolis carolinensis (green anole), 2409 nucleotides long. RefSeq lists it as uncharacterized. The transcript is spliced from 4 exons. The record is from RefSeq and is a predicted model, not a curated record. Lineage: Eukaryota; Metazoa; Chordata; Lepidosauria; Squamata; Anolidae.